GGGGGCGCAAUGGUUUCGACGGGGAUGGGGAAGCCGGAGUUGCAGGUCGAGGCGCCGCUGGCCUCGUAAAAAGCGGCAACAAAAGUAAUUGCCAACAACGAUUACGACUACGCCUACGCUGCGUAAGCAGUUCGGGCACCUGGCCUCCUAGGAGGUCACGCCGAACCGGGGGACGCCUGAUAACCCGGCAAGGUGUCAAACCCAUCAGGCUGGCAUGCGUCGGCGCCCGCCGGUACGCAUGCGAGGAGUUUCGGCGGGCUGACCGAGGGCCGCCCGUCCGGGGGCGUGGUCCGAGGUGAGAAUGUUCCCGGACUAAACCUGUAGACGCUUUGCGCGGAUCGUUCUCGGACGGGGGUUCGACUCCCCCCGCCUCCACCA
This 378-nucleotide transfer-messenger RNA is filed under the name Desulfovibrionaceae. RNAcentral describes it as "Mailhella merdigallinarum Standard tmRNA". It matches the Rfam family "transfer-messenger RNA". Rfam says of the family: Bacterial tmRNA, also known as 10Sa RNA or SsrA, is named for its dual tRNA and mRNA-like properties. Its role is to liberate the mRNA from a stalled ribosome. To accomplish this part of the tmRNA is used as a reading frame that ends in a translation stop signal. Lineage: Bacteria; Pseudomonadati; Thermodesulfobacteriota; Desulfovibrionia; Desulfovibrionales. RNAcentral also lists the same sequence under 2 other names. The record is from RNAcentral.